RNAcentral lists this small RNA (602 nucleotides) under Inocybe aff. nitidiuscula UCBSB71. RNAcentral's name for it is "eukaryotic LSU rRNA". The stretch from base 261 to 414 matches the Rfam family "5.8S ribosomal RNA". The record is from RNAcentral. Lineage: Eukaryota; Fungi; Basidiomycota; Agaricomycetes; Agaricales; Inocybaceae.
UCUUGGUCAUUUAGAGGAAGUAAAAGUCGUAACAAGGUUUCCGUAGGUGAACCUGCGGAAGGAUCAUUAUCGAAAUAAAAUCUGAACAGGCUGUUGCUGGUCGGAAGACAUGUGCACGCUUGUCCUCUUUAUUUUUUCCAACUAUGCACAUAUUGUAGACCUGUGAUGUUGUUUUCUUGAUGAGAGAGAAUGGCCAGGUCUAUGUUACAUUUUAACAAUGCGUUUUAGAAUGUCGGGUACUGGGGAUAUAACAAAUAUACAACUUUCAGCAACGGAUCUCUUGGCUCUCGCAUCGAUGAAGAACGCAGCGAAAUGCGAUAAGUAAUGUGAAUUGCAGAAUUCAGUGAAUCAUCGAAUCUUUGAACGCAUCUUGCGCUCCUUGGUAUUCCAAGGAGCAUGCCUGUUUGAGUGUCAUCAAGUUCUCAACCAUACCUUGGUGUGGCUUGGAUCUGGGGGUUUUGCAGGCUUCAAAGAAGGUCGGCUCCCCUGAAAAGCAUUAGAAGUGUCUGAGUACCUUUGGUGUCCCUCUGUGUUAUUGGGUGAAAAGGCGAUCCAAAAUGCGCGGGGUUUUUUGUUCUUUGGGGGGUAGUACGCUUAUCAAU